This 497-nucleotide ribosomal RNA is filed under the name uncultured Actinomycetes bacterium. Its description in RNAcentral is "bacterial SSU rRNA". It matches the Rfam family "Bacterial small subunit ribosomal RNA", at positions 8 to 522 of the family's 1533-position model. Lineage: Bacteria; Bacillati; Actinomycetota; Actinomycetes. The record is from RNAcentral.
AGAGUUUGAUCAUGGCUCAGGACGAACGCUGGCGGCGCGCCUAAAACAUGCAAGUCGAACGAGAAGCCCGGGCUUGCCCGGGUGGACAGUGGCGAACGGGUGAGUAACACGUGAGGAACCUGCCCCGAAGACCGGGACAACACCGGGAAACCGGUGCUAAUACCGGAUACCUUCACCGGAUCGCAUGGUCUGGUGAAGAAAUGGAUUCCGCUUCGGGAUGGCCUCGCGGCCUAUCAGCUAAUUGGUGAGGUAACGGCUCACCAAGGCGACGACGGGUAGCUGGUCUGAGAGGAUGUCCAGCCACACUGGGACUGAGACACGGCCCAUACUCCUACGGGAGGCAGCAGUUAGGAAUCUUGCGCAAUGGACGAAAGUCUGACGCAGCGACGCCGCGUGCGGGAUGAAGGCCUUCGGGUUGUAAACCGCUUUCAGCAGGGACGAAAUUGACGGUACCUGCAGAAGAAGCCCCGGCCAACUACGUGCCAGCAGCCGCGGUA